UACGAAGGGGGCUAGCGUUGUUCGGAAUUACUGGGCGUAAAGCGCACGUAGGCGGAUACUUAAGUCAGGGGUGAAAUCCCGGGGCUCAACCCCGGAACUGCCUUUGAUACUGGGUAUCUCGAGUCCGGAAGAGGUGAGUGGAAUUCCGAGUGUAGAGGUGAAAUUCGUAGAUAUUCGGAGGAACACCAGUGGCGAAGGCGGCUCACUGGUCCAUUACUGACGCUGAGGUGCGGAAGCGUGGGGAGCAAACAGG
Molecule: ribosomal RNA, 253 nt
Filed under: uncultured bacterium
Lineage: Bacteria
Description: partial 16S ribosomal RNA
Rfam family: Bacterial small subunit ribosomal RNA
Source: RNAcentral